Molecule: ribosomal RNA, 500 nt
Filed under: uncultured bacterium
Lineage: Bacteria
Description: bacterial SSU rRNA
Rfam family: Bacterial small subunit ribosomal RNA
Source: RNAcentral
GAUGAACGCUGGCGGCGUGCCUCAAACAUGCAAGUCGAGCGGGGCUAUGUAAUAUCGCAAGGUAGAACAUAGCCUAGCGGCGAACGGGUGAGUAACACGUGGGUAACCUGCCUGGAAGACAGGGAUAACGAUUCGAAAGGGUCGCUAAUACCUGAUAAUAUCCUUUCAUCGCAUGGUGAUAGGAAGAAAGGGGAAACCCGCUUUCAGAUGGGCCCGCGUCCCAUCAGCUAGUUGGUAAGGUAAAGGCUUACCAAGGCGACGACGGGUAGCCGGUCUGAGAGGAUGUACGGCCACACUGGGACUGAGAUACGGCCCAGACUCCUACGGGAGGCAGCAGUUGGGAAUCUUAGGCAAUGGACGAAAGUCUGACCUAGCGACGCCGCGUGAGGGAAGAAGGCCUUCGGUUGUAAACCUCUGUCAUGGGGAAGAAGUAAGUGACGGUACCCAACGAGGAAGCCCCUGCUAACUACGUGCCAGCAGCCGCGGUAAUAGUACUGUAU